This 274-nucleotide ribosomal RNA is filed under the name uncultured bacterium. RNAcentral describes it as "partial 16S ribosomal RNA". It matches the Rfam family "Bacterial small subunit ribosomal RNA", at positions 523 to 796 of the family's 1533-position model. The record is from RNAcentral.
AUACAGAGGGUGCGAGCGUUAAUCGGAUUUACUGGGCGUAAAGCGUGCGUAGGCGGCUUUCUAAGUCGGAUGUGAAAUCCCUGAGCUUAACUUAGGAAUUGCAUUCGAUACUGGGAAGCUAGAGGAUGGGAGAGGAUGGUAGAAUUCCAGGUGUAGCGGUGAAAUGCGUAGAGAUCUGGAGGAAUACCGAUGGCGAAGGCAGCCAUCUGGCCUAAUACUGACGCUGAGGUACGAAAGCAUGGGGAGCAAACAGGAUUAGAAACCCUAGUAGUCC